Molecule: ribosomal RNA, 373 nt
Filed under: uncultured organism
Description: partial 16S ribosomal RNA
Rfam family: Bacterial small subunit ribosomal RNA
Source: RNAcentral
GUAGGUGGCAAGCGUUGUCCGGAAUCACUGGGCGUAAAGCGCGCGCAGGCGGCCGUUUAAGUCUGGGGUGAAAGCCCGGAGCUCAACUCCGGGACUGCCUUGGAUACUGGAUGGCUUGAGCAUUGGAGAGGCAAGGGGAAUUCCACGUGUAGCUGUGAAAUGCGUAGAUAUGUGGAGGAACACCAGUGGCGAAGGCGCCUUGCUGGCCAAUCGCUGACGCUGAGGCGCGAAAGUGUGGGGAGCAAACAGGAUUAGAUACCCUGGUAGUCCCACACCCGUAAACGAUGAGUGCUAGGUGUUGGUGGGGUUCCACCCAUCAGUGCCGAAGCUAACGCAUUAAGCACUCCGCCUGGGGAGUACGCUCGCAAGAGUG